This 77-nucleotide transfer RNA is filed under the name Marmota monax (woodchuck). RNAcentral describes it as "tRNA.Ala". The record is from RNAcentral. Lineage: Eukaryota; Metazoa; Chordata; Mammalia; Rodentia; Sciuridae.
UGGGGUGUGGCCCAGUUGGUAGAGCGCUUGCCUAGCAAAUACAUGUGAGACACUGGGUUUGAUCCUCAGCACCACAU